RNAcentral lists this ribosomal RNA (274 nucleotides) under uncultured bacterium. RNAcentral's name for it is "partial 16S ribosomal RNA". It matches the Rfam family "Bacterial small subunit ribosomal RNA", at positions 523 to 796 of the family's 1533-position model. The record is from RNAcentral.
AUACGGAGGGUCCGAGCGUUAAUCGGAAUUACUGGGCGUAAAGCGCGCGUAGGUGGAUGUAUAAGUCAGAUGUGAAAGCCCUGGGCUCAACCUAGGAACUGCAUUUGAAACUGUACGUCUAGAGUAUGGUAGAGGUGAGUGGAAUUUCAGGUGUAGCGGUGAAAUGCGUAGAGAUCUGAAGGAACAUCAGUGGCGAAGGCGACUCACUGGGCCAUUACCGACACUGAGGUGCGAAAGCGUGGGUAGCAAACAGGAUUAGAAACCCUAGUAGUCC